UCCACGCCGUAAACGAUGUCUACUAGCCGUUGGGAGACUUGAUUUCUUAGUGGCGCAGCUAACGCAAUAAGUAGACCGCCUGGGGAGUACGGCCGCAAGGUUAAAACUCAAAUGAAUUGACGGGGGCCCGCACAAGCGGUGGAGCAUGUGGUUUAAUUCGAUGCAACGCGAAGAACCUUACCAGGUCUUGACAUCCUGCGAAUUUUC
Molecule: ribosomal RNA, 207 nt
Filed under: uncultured bacterium
Lineage: Bacteria
Description: partial 16S ribosomal RNA
Rfam family: Bacterial small subunit ribosomal RNA
Source: RNAcentral